Molecule: ribosomal RNA, 281 nt
Filed under: uncultured soil bacterium
Lineage: Bacteria
Description: partial 16S ribosomal RNA
Rfam family: Bacterial small subunit ribosomal RNA
Source: RNAcentral
AGAACGAACGCUGGCGGCAUGCCUAACACAUGCAAGUCGAACGAGACCUUCGGGUCUAGUGGCGCACGGGUGCGUAACGCGUGGGAAUCUGCCCUUGGGUUCGGGAUAACAGUUGGAAACGACUGCUAAUACCGGAUGAUGACUUCGGUCCAAAGAUUUAUCGCCCGAGGGAUGAGCCCGCGUAGGAUUAGCUAGUUGGUGAGGUAAAGGCUCACCAAGGCGACGAUCCUUAGCUGGUCUGAGAGGAUGAUCAGCCACACUGGGACUGAGACACGGCCCAG